CGGGACGGGUGAGUAACGCGUGGAUAACCUGCCUCACACUGGGGGAUAACAGUUAGAAAUGGCUGCUAAUACCGCAUAAGCGCACAGUACCGCAUGGUACGGUGUGAAAACCCAGGUGGUGUGAGAUGGAUCCGCGUCUGAUUAGCCAGUUGGCGGGGUAACGGCCCACCAAAGCGACGAUCAGUAGCGACCUGAGAGGGUGACCGGCCACAUUGGGACUGAGACACGGCCCAA
RNAcentral lists this ribosomal RNA (234 nucleotides) under uncultured bacterium. Its description in RNAcentral is "partial 16S ribosomal RNA". It matches the Rfam family "Bacterial small subunit ribosomal RNA", at positions 100 to 334 of the family's 1533-position model. The record is from RNAcentral.